GUGGCGAACGGGUGAGUAACACGUGGGUGAUCUGCCCUGCACUUCGGGAUAAGCCUGGGAAACUGGGUCUAAUACCGGAUAGGACCACGGGAUGCAUGUCUUGUGGUGGAAAGCGCUUUAGCGGUGUGGGAUGAGCCCGCGGCCUAUCAGCUUGUUGGUGGGGUGACGGCCUACCAAGGCGACGACGGGUAGCCGGCCUGAGAGGGUGUCCGGCCACACUGGGACUGAGAUACGGCCCAGACUCCUACGGGAGGCAGCAGUGGGGAAUAUUGCACAAUGGGCGCAAGCCUGAUGCAGCGACGCCGCGUGGGGGAUGACGGCCUUCGGGUUGUAAACCUCUUUCACCAUCGACGAAGGUCCGGGUUCUCUCGGAUUGACGGUAGGUGGAGAAGAAGCACCGGCCAACUACGUGCCAGCCGCCGCGGUAAUACGUAGGGUGCGAGCGUUGUCCGGAAUUACUGGGCGUAAAGAGCUCGUAGGUGGUUUGUCGCGUUGUUCGUGAAAUCUCACGGCUUAACUGUGAGCGUGCGGGCGAUACGGGCAGACUAGAGUACUGCAGGGGAGACUGGAAUUCCUGGUGUAGCGGUGGAAUGCGCAGAUAUCAGGAGGAACACCGGUGGCGAAGGCGGGUCUCUGGGCAGUAACUGACGCUGAGGAGCGAAAGCGUGGGGAGCGAACAGGAUUAGAUACCCUGGUAGUCCACGCCGUAAACGGUGGGUACUAGGUGUGGGUUUCCUUCCUUGGGAUCCGUGCCGUAGCUAACGCAUUAAGUACCCCGCCUGGGGAGUACGGCCGCAAGGCUAAAACUCAAAGGAAUUGACGGGGGCCCGCACAAGCGGCGGAGCAUGUGGAUUAA
Molecule: ribosomal RNA, 856 nt
Filed under: Mycobacterium tuberculosis
Lineage: Bacteria; Bacillati; Actinomycetota; Actinomycetes; Mycobacteriales; Mycobacteriaceae
Description: bacterial SSU rRNA
Rfam family: Bacterial small subunit ribosomal RNA
Source: RNAcentral